Molecule: ribosomal RNA, 254 nt
Filed under: uncultured bacterium
Lineage: Bacteria
Description: partial 16S ribosomal RNA
Rfam family: Bacterial small subunit ribosomal RNA
Source: RNAcentral
CGUAGGGCGCGAGCGUUGUCCGGAAUUAUUGGGCGUAAAGGGCUCGUAGGCGGCUUGUCGCGUCUGCUGUGAAAACGCGGGGCUCAACUCCGCGCGUGCAGUGGGUACGGGCAGGCUGGAGUGCGGCAGGGGUGGCUGGAAUUCCUGGUGUAGCGGUGGAAUGCGCAGAUAUCAGGAAGAACACCGAUGGCGAAGGCAGGCCACUGGGCCGUCACUGACGCUGAGGAGCGAAAGCGUGGGGAGCGAACAGGAUU